This 130-nucleotide non-coding RNA is filed under the name Rhodanobacter spathiphylli. RNAcentral's name for it is "SAH sequence". It matches the Rfam family "SAH (S-adenosyl-L-homocysteine) riboswitch aptamer". The record is from RNAcentral. Lineage: Bacteria; Pseudomonadati; Pseudomonadota; Gammaproteobacteria; Lysobacterales; Rhodanobacteraceae. RNAcentral also lists the same sequence under 1 other name.
CCCGCCGAGGGGCGCUGCGACCGUCGUCGUGAAUGCGGAUACGUCCGCAAUGCCCCGCACAUCCCGUGCGGACUCUUCACGACAACGGCCAGGCUCGGCGCGGCACGUUCCACAACGGCGCCCGGUUGCU